UACGUAGGGUGCGAGCGUUGUCCGGAAUUAUUGGGCGUAAAGAGCUUGUAGGCGGUCUGUCGCGUCCGUUGUGAAAACUCGAGGCUCAACCUCGGGCUUGCAGUGGAUACGGGCAGACUAGAGGUAGGUAGGGGAGAAUGGAAUUCCCGGUGUAGCGGUGAAAUGCGCAGAUAUCGGGAGGAACACCGAUGGCGAAGGCAGGUCUCUGGGCCAUAACUGACGCUGAGAAGCGAAAGCAUGGGGAGCGAACAGG
Molecule: ribosomal RNA, 253 nt
Filed under: uncultured bacterium
Lineage: Bacteria
Description: partial 16S ribosomal RNA
Rfam family: Bacterial small subunit ribosomal RNA
Source: RNAcentral